Molecule: ribosomal RNA, 362 nt
Filed under: uncultured bacterium
Lineage: Bacteria
Description: bacterial SSU rRNA
Rfam family: Bacterial small subunit ribosomal RNA
Source: RNAcentral
GAUGAACGCUAGCGGCAGGCUUAAUACAUGCAAGUCGAGGGGCAGCAGGUCUGUAGCAAUACAGAUGCUGGCGACCGGCAAACGGGUGCGGAACACGUACACAACCUUCCUUUAAGUGGGGAAUAGCCCAGGGAAACUUGGAUUAAUACCCCGUAAAUUAUGAAGUGGCAUCACUUUAUAAUUAAAGCUCAGGCGCUUAAUGAUGGGUGUGCGGCUGAUUAGGUAGUUGGCGGGGCGAACGGCCCACCAAGCCUGCGAUCAGUAACUGGUGUGAGAGCACGACCAGUCACACGGGCACUGAGACACGGGCCCGGACUCCUACGGGAGGCAGCAGUAAGGAAUAUUGGUCAAUGGACGCAAGU